ACAAGCUCAAUUUACUCGGUUAAAAUUCUAGAUAGGAUUAUGAUAAUGACAUUACCUAUCUAUAUGUCUUGACCAAAUUACGUGCCAGCAGUCGCGGUAAUACGUAAAAGACUAGUGUUAUUCAUCUUUAAUAGGUUUAAAGCGUACCUAGACGGUUAAUCAAGCCUAAAUAAGGUACUAAUUAAACUAGAGUUUUAUGUAAGGGUGCAUUAAGGUACUGUUGAGGUGUAGAGAUGAAAUUCUGUCAUACCAGAUUAUUGGCACGGGUUUAGGCGAAAGCAUCACCUUAUGUAAUAACUGACGUUGACGGACGAAGGCUUUGUAUCGCUAACAGGAUUAGAUACCCCAGUAGUCUAAGCAGAAAAUGAUGAGUGUCAUAGGUUGAAUAUAAUUAUUCGGUCUAUAAAUGAAAGUGUAAGCACUCCACCUCAAGAGUAAUUUGGCAACAUUGGAACUGAAAUCAUUAGACCGUGUUUGAAACCAGUAGUGAAGUAUGUUGUUUAAUUAGAUGCCACGCAAAAAACCUUACCACAAUUUGAAUAUUAAAGAAAAUUUUUUACAAGCGCUGCACGGCUGUUUUUAGUUAAUGUCGUGAGAUUUUGGUUAGUUCC
Molecule: ribosomal RNA, 611 nt
Filed under: Placynthium sp. Spribille 20119 (UBC)
Lineage: Eukaryota; Fungi; Ascomycota; Lecanoromycetes; Peltigerales; Placynthiaceae
Description: SSU rRNA
Rfam family: Bacterial small subunit ribosomal RNA
Source: RNAcentral